UCAUCCCAGCACCUACACCUCCCAACAGCGCUUCGGUUUAGCGGUGAGCCUGAGUCACUCUUCCUGGGCUCCCCCUGGCCUGGCUGAUGCAACAUGGCCUGAAGUUGAGUAGAAGAAGCACGGAGCUUCUACUCAAUGUUGGAGCCGCCAGCAGAGGGCAGCCUUUGCACACCCACGGCGGCAUCCCCUGGAGCCACGUGACACCAGCUUUGCAUCAUCCCUCCCGGCGUCCAGGGGCACAAGAGCAAGGCUCUGGGACUAGCCACCGCCAGGGCUGAGCCCGCAGGAAUGCAUCUGGGCCUCAGAGGGAGCAGCGCCCCAAGCUUUUUGUGCCGCGGAGCCUGACCUGCUGCUGGUGUCACAGACAGAGCUCGUGGGUCCCCCGCAGACCUGCAGCUGUACACUCGGUCUUACCUACAGGCUGGCUGUGAUGGCUCAGAAAGGCAGACGCUGGGAAUUCUCUGGUCGCUCCCAGGAUGGAAUGAAGCCCCCUCGUUUUCACACUCACACACAGUACCCUGGGAGUGAGUGUGGCUGGCACCCUGGGGCCCCGGUAGAGUCUGUCAGGCUUUCAUAAUCGGGACAGAGGACAGAGGAGCCGGGGAAAGGAGGCCAACCGAAUACCGGAUGUUUGCAACCCUUGGCGUCACCAUCAUCCAGUGUCUUCAGAUACAAGGAAACAAAACAAUUUGGCAAAUUGUAUAUUUUUCUCCCUACCUAAUCCCUCAAGAAUAAAUGAGUCAUGGCAAUGCG
This is a long non-coding RNA of Myotis myotis, 753 nucleotides long. RefSeq lists it as uncharacterized. The record is from RefSeq and is a predicted model, not a curated record. Lineage: Eukaryota; Metazoa; Chordata; Mammalia; Chiroptera; Vespertilionidae. The transcript is spliced from 3 exons.